GAUGACCGCUCGCGGCGUGCCUAAUACAUGCAAGUUGAGCGAACAGACGAGGAGCUUGCACCUCUGACUUUAGCGGCGGAUGUGUGCGUAACACGUGGCUAACCUACCUAUAAGACUGGGAUAACUUCGGGAAACCGGAGCUACUACCGGAUAAUAUAUUGAACCGCAUGGUUCAAUAGUGAAAGACGGUUUUGCUGUCACUUAUUGAAGGAUCUGCGCCGCAUUAGCUAGUUGGUAAGGUAACGGCUUACCAAGGCAACGAUGCGUAGCCGACCUGAGAGGGUGAUCAACCACACUGGAACUGAGACACGGUCCAGACUCCUACGAGAGGCAGCAGUAGGAAAUCUUCCGAAAUGAACGAAAGCUUAACGUAGCAACACCGCGUGUAUGAUGAAGGUCUACGAAACGUAAAACAGUGGUAGUAAGGGAGAGCAAGUGUGAAGGUAACUGUGCACGUCUUGACGGUACCUAAUCGGAAGGCCACGGCUAGCUACAUG
RNAcentral lists this ribosomal RNA (497 nucleotides) under uncultured bacterium. RNAcentral describes it as "partial 16S ribosomal RNA". It matches the Rfam family "Bacterial small subunit ribosomal RNA", at positions 28 to 507 of the family's 1533-position model. The record is from RNAcentral.